RNAcentral lists this ribosomal RNA (253 nucleotides) under uncultured bacterium. RNAcentral describes it as "partial 16S ribosomal RNA". It matches the Rfam family "Bacterial small subunit ribosomal RNA", at positions 524 to 776 of the family's 1533-position model. The record is from RNAcentral.
UACGUAGGGUGCAAGCGUUAAUCGGAAUUACUGGGCGUAAAGCGUGCGCAGGCGGUGAUGUAAGACAGAUGUGAAAUCCCCGGGCUCAACCUGGGAACUGCGUUUCUAACUGGCAAGCUUGAGUGUGGCAGAGGGGGGUGGAAUUCCACGUGUAGCAGUGAAAUGCGUAGAGAUGUGGAGGAACACCGAUGGCGAAGGCGGGUCUCUGGGCCGUAACUGACGCUGAGGAGCGAAAGCAUGGGGAGCGAACAGG